RNAcentral lists this ribosomal RNA (760 nucleotides) under uncultured Mycobacterium sp. RNAcentral's name for it is "bacterial SSU rRNA". It matches the Rfam family "Bacterial small subunit ribosomal RNA", at positions 578 to 1333 of the family's 1533-position model. The record is from RNAcentral. Lineage: Bacteria; Bacillati; Actinomycetota; Actinomycetes; Mycobacteriales; Mycobacteriaceae.
GUUUGUCGCGUUGUUCGUGAAAUCUCACGGCUUAACUGUGAGCGUGCGGGCGAUACGGGCAGACUUGAGUACUGCAGGGGAGACUGGAAUUCCUGGUGUAGCGGUGGAAUGCGCAGAUAUCAGGAGGAACACCGGUGGCGAAGGCGGGUCUCUGGGCAGUAACUGACGCUGAGGAGCGAAAGCGUGGGGAGCGAACAGGAUUAGAUACCCUGGUAGUCCACGCCGUAAACGGUGGGUACUAGGUGUGGGUUUCCUUCCUUGGGAUCCGUGCCGUAGCUAACGCAUUAAGUACCCCGCCUGGGGAGUACGGCCGCAAGGCUAAAACUCAAAGAAAUUGACGGGGGCCCGCACAAGCGGCGGAGCAUGUGGAUUAAUUCGAUGCAACGCGAAGAACCUUACCUGGGUUUGACAUGCACAGGACGCCGGCAGAGAUGUCGGUUCCCUUGUGGCCUGUGUGCAGGUGGUGCAUGGCUGUCGUCAGCUCGUGUCGUGAGAUGUUGGGUUAAGUCCCGCAACGAGCGCAACCCUUGUCUCAUGUUGCCAGCGGGUAAUGGCCGGGGACUCGUGAGAGACUGCCCGGGGUCAACUCGGAGGAAGGUGGGGAUGACGUCAAGUCAUCAUGCCCCUUAUGUCCAGGGCUUCACACAUGCUACAAUGGCCGGUACAAACGGGCUGCGAUGCCGCGAGGUUAAGCGAAUCCUUUUAAAGCCGGUCUCAGUUCGGAUCGGGGUCUGCAACUCGACCCCGUGAAGUCGGAGUC